GCGGUUGUAGCUCAGUUGGCCAGAGCGCUGGCUUGCCAAGUCAGUUGUCGCGGGUUCGAAUCCCGCCAGCCGCU
Molecule: transfer RNA, 74 nt
Filed under: marine sediment metagenome
Description: tRNA-Gly
Rfam family: tRNA
About the family: Transfer RNA (tRNA) molecules are approximately 80 nucleotides in length.
Source: RNAcentral